GCUCCUCUCUAAUUUGUUCAGACAUUGUGGUGUGUCUGGCCAUAUCAUUUGUCAUAGGUGUAAAAACAAUCACAACCAAAGCUUAAAGCUGUUGGGAUGAGCAGCUGCCUGGGAAUCACGCUCCUUCCUGCUCUUUCCAAAAAGCCAGGUGCCGCCGGCCAGCAUCCCGCUCCCUUUGACCCGCAGUCUGUGCGGGAAGUAGGCCCGGAGUGGUGCCAGCAGGAGGUGGCCUUAGAAAGGCGGAGACCCAAGGAGCAGAGUGAGUCGGCGUCCAGCUCCACCUGAAAGCGCCAUCUUGUCGCCACUUCCCUCAGGAGCAGCAUGCCCAGCCUCUUGCAUAGGAAGAAGUGGUAAGCUAAGGAGAGAAAUGCAGGGUUCCUAGUACACCAAUUUUCCAACUUUUUCAUCUUGGCCCUGCUUUAAAAUGAUGCAUCUACUGUCUUCAUGCCUCAGCACAGCAGAGAAAACCAUGCUGUGUUCCAGUUUACUUUGAAUGUUUCAGUGAAAAUGAUGAAGCUGAAAAAAUGACGGAGGCCCGUUUUACAUGGUCACCUGAAUGUGGAAAAGUUGAGUUGGAGCAAAACUGGCACGGCCAUACUGGAUGGACCUCAGCAUGACCAGGACACAUUUCAGCUCAAAUCCCCUGUGCCAAGAACACAUUCUGCCAAGGACCACCACCUCUUCCCACAACUAGAGCUGGCUUACCAGAGCACCGAUGGACUUGGAUACCUGAGAUAUCUGCUUGGGAUCCCACACUUUCAAGGUCUCUCCUCUGGCCUUCUUCUGGUUCUGCGACUCCUUACAGCGCUGGGAGUUGGUGAUGCCAACAGGACAUACGCUCCCAGAGCCUACCUCUCCCAGAUCACUUUAAAAGGCACCCAGGACCCCAGAAUUCUCAUCCUCAAAGGCAUGGAGCUCAGCUCUUGGCCCUCAACAAAUCUCUUCCCCAUAAAGAUCCUUUUGAGAGCUUAGGAUGUCCCCCGGAUGGUUUUGGUUGCAGAUUGUGGUGGUGGAGGGAGCUAUACAAUUUAAUCUAUUGCCAUUAAUUGGAUGCGCUAAUGGCAGAUUGGGUAGUGAUAAUGCCAUAAGAGGUAGUGUGUGAGCCGUGUGCUGCAUCUGUGCUAGCUCAGGUAAGUCAGCACACAGCACCUGCAGCCUCCUCUCACCUCUUCCCUGAGCAGCACCUUUUCACCUGAACAUGCUGAUCCCCUAGUGCUUCAUCUUGACAGCAACUUAACAAGCCCUGGGCAGCUUUUUAAAAUAAAUGACUAUGAUAUUGACUAUGAAUCUACAUAAAAGCCACUUGUUUUUUAGUCAUAAUCUGUGUCUAACUGCAGAAGAAAUUCACACCUUUGAAAAACAAAUAAAAAUGUAAAAAGUGAAAA
Molecule: long non-coding RNA, 1385 nt
Filed under: Homo sapiens (human)
Lineage: Eukaryota; Metazoa; Chordata; Mammalia; Primates; Hominidae
Description: long intergenic non-protein coding RNA 1501
Source: RNAcentral